UUACAAUGAAGAGUUUGAUCCUGGCUCAGGAUGAACGCUAGCUACAGGCUUAACACAUGCAAGUCGAGGGGCAUCAGAUCGAAAGCUUGCUUUUGAUGCUGGCGACCGGCGCACGGGUGAGUAACGCGUAUCCAACCUUCCCUAUAGUAGAGAAUAGCCCGGCGAAAGUCGGAUUAAUGCUCUAUGUUGUAUUUAGAGGACAUCUGAAGAAUACCAAAGGUUUACCGCUAUAGGAUGGGGAUGCGUCUGAUUAGGUAGUAGGCGGGGUAACGGCCCACCUAGCCGACGAUCAGUAGGGGUUCUGAGAGGAAGGUCCCCCACAUUGGAACUGAGACACGGUCCAAACUCCUACGGGAGGCAGCAGUGAGGAAUAUUGGUCAAUGGACGGAAGUCUGAACCAGCCAAGUAGCGUGCAGGAUGACGGCCCUAUGGGUUGUAAACUGCUUUUAUAUAGGGAUAAAGUCGGGGACGUGUCCCCGUUUGUAGGUACUAUAUGAAUAAGGACCGGCUAAUUCCGUGCCAGCAGCCGCGGUAAUACGGAAGGUCCAGGCGUUAUCCGGAUUUAUUGGGUUUAAAGGGAGCGCAGGCUGAUGAUUAAGCGUGACGUGAAAUGUAGCCGCUCAACGGCUGAACUGCGUCGCGAACUGGUUAUCUUGAGUGAGUUCGAUGUUGGCGGAAUUCGUGGUGUAGCGGUGAAAUGCUUAGAUAUCACGAAGAACUCCGAUUGCGAAGGCAGCCAACAAGGCCUUUACUGACGCUAAAGCUCGAAGGUGCGGGUAUCGAACAGGAUUAGAUACCCUGGUAGUCCGCACGGUAAACGAUGGAUGCCCGCUGUUUGCGAUAUACUGUGAGCGGCCAAGAGAAAUCGUUAAGCAUCCCACCUGGGGAGUACGCCGGCAACGGUGAAACUCAAAGGAAUUGACGGGGGCCCGCACAAGCGGAGGAACAUGUGGUUUAAUUCGAUGAUACGCGAGGAACCUUACCCGGGCUUGAACUGCCAGCGAACGAUUCAGAGAUGAUGAGGUCCUUCGGGACGCUGGUGGAGGUGCUGCAUGGUUGUCGUCAGCUCGUGCCGUGAGGUGUCGGCUUAAGUGCCAUAACGAGCGCAACCCUUUUCUUUAGUUGCCAUCAGGUAAUGCUGGGCACUCUGGAGAUACUGCCACCGUAAGGUGUGAGGAAGGUGGGGAUGACGUCAAAUCAGCACGGCCCUUACGUCCGGGGCUACACACGUGUUACAAUGGGGGGUACAGAGAGUCGGAUAUACGCAAGUAUGUUCUAAUCCUUAAAGCCUUCCUCAGUUCGGAUUGGGGUCUGCAACCCGACCCCAUGAAGCUGGAUUCGCUAGUAAUCGCGCAUCAGCCAUGGCGCGGUGAAUACGUUCCCGGGCCUUGUACACACCGCCCGUCAAGCCAUGAAAGCCGGGGGCGCUUGAAGUCCGUGACCGCAAGGAUCGGCCUAGAGCGAAACUGGUAAUUGGGGCUAAGUCGUAACAAGGUAGCCGUACCGGAAGGUGCGGCUGGAACACCUCCUUUCU
This 1534-nucleotide ribosomal RNA is filed under the name Xylanibacter ruminicola 23. RNAcentral describes it as "Prevotella ruminicola 23 16S ribosomal RNA". It matches the Rfam family "Bacterial small subunit ribosomal RNA". Lineage: Bacteria; Pseudomonadati; Bacteroidota; Bacteroidia; Bacteroidales; Prevotellaceae. The record is from RNAcentral.